This 1057-nucleotide long non-coding RNA is filed under the name Vulpes vulpes (red fox). Its description in RNAcentral is "lncRNA (ENSVVUG00000010204.1)". Lineage: Eukaryota; Metazoa; Chordata; Mammalia; Carnivora; Canidae. The record is from RNAcentral.
GCCCGCACUCCGCUCCGGCCCGUGUUCUCCUUCCAGAGGCGGACUCCGCGGCCGCACUCGUGUGACUCCAACACCAAUAAGCAGACCGGACAGCAGGGCCGGGGGCUCGCGGGGGCGCGCGGGGGCGCGCGGGGGCAGGACCUGGACCGAGCCCCGGCCGGCCGGGGCGCCCCCAGCCCACAGGCGGGGAGCCUCAGACGCAGAGUGGGGCCGAAUCCGUCAUGAGCCGAGAACUUGAACGUCUCUCUUGGAAGCGGUUGUAUUUUUAGACACCCCUCCUUUGCUCCCCCCCCGCCCCAUCCUCCAUUCCUUAGCCGCGGAGAGACCAGCACCAGGCAGUAAAUUGCGAGGGCAGCCAACCUCGACUGCUAAGUUUGCCUCCCUUCUUAUGCAUGAAGAAAAGCCUCCAAAGGAGGGAACACAACCAAUGGAACAGAAAAUGUUUUACUCUGGGGAUCCAGCAGGAUUGAAAUUUUCAGAAGCUCACAGAUAUCCACAAAGAUACAUCUGUGCAUUUACCUACCCGGGCUGUCUUAUAAACGACUAAACUUCCUAUAGGAUAGUCCAUUGAUUGUUGCCACCCUAACUUCCUAAAAAUGACCUCAUGAGAGAAAGAUGAAGAAAAAAACAAGCUCUCAAGACAAAGGGAGAGGCUUUUGCCAGGGAAGUCCUCAACCACCGCUCUGAGUCCCCACAUUUGGUUUCUACUAAUGCAGGAGGAGGUGGCGGAGCAGCUAGUGGGCAGCUGGCGCCCCCACCACGCAAGCCUCCGCCCCGGAGACUAGCCCCGCGCGGCCCCGGGUGCGCCGCAGAGCCCCGGGGAGGGCCCCGGGGAGGGCCCCGAGGAGGGCCCCGGCCGGGGGCGCCCCGCGGCCCAGCCACCUCCGCCCGCGCAGAGGUGCUUUACAAACAAGGAGAAACUUUUCCUGAUCUCCCGCUCCCGCGCCGUGGCGGUGGAGGACGGAGACCUGGAGAGCGCCGGCAUCUAGGGGAGAAGCAGCGGGAGCGCGGAAGGAGCCGGAAUCGGGGAACCGCCCGCUGGAAUCGGCGAGUUUAA